UCCACAACGCGAUCUCUAUAAAACUCCACAUCAUGUGCUUUUAUGUUGCAGAAUGUUCAAUUUACCAGAAAGAUCUCCUUGAGAUUGUUCAAUUUACAAUAUCUUGUAGCCGUUGAGUAACCAGAAAGAUCUUGCUGUGUGUGACUGGGAGAAAGCAAAGAAUUGGAGCGCUUUAUUAUAGAGUUUCUUUUUCUUUCUUGCUAUACAAAGCUGCAAACCCUAGUUCCAGAAAUUUUUUAUUUUGAAAUCCCUUUUAGUUGCGAAACAAAAUUCAAAGCAUUUUUUUUUUCUCUCCGGAUUCCCUUGGUUUUCCAACCGGAAAAACGCGCCGAUUGAAUCUCCCCAACGGCAAUCUCAGGGAAUUAAUCUUUUCUCCUCUAGAUCUCGGCCGCGAAAAUCUUCAUCGCCUAAGAAAAUAAUAAUGAAGGCUGUCUCUGCUUUCCUUAUGCUAGUAGCUGUGUUUUUCUGGUUACUUUUAUUCUCCCUUGCCCUAGCUGCUCGGCCUACCCCUGAUAUCAACGGAGUUAUGGACUUCAAUAGAAAAGUGGUGAAGCGUGGCCUACUUCCCAAGCCUCCCAAGCGUAAUAAAGGAAAGGAUCCGCAGCAUGAUUAAUCUAUACAGUGCUCUGAUUAAUUACAUGGUCAAAAUUUAGGGGUGGAGAAAUUUGAUCAAUUAAGGAUUAGUGGCCGCUUGAUGUUUGCUUCUGGAUUUUGUUGGUUGGGAUUCUUUUAUGGUCAUUGUUUUGUUAUCAGUUCUGGUCUUAUAAACUACUCUUCUAGAGUCAUUAAAAAUCUCCAUUCAUUCAUUCAUUCAUUCCAUUUUGAUAGUUAAUAAGCAUAAGUAUCUGCCGUGUUAUAGAUGUCUUCAUACCAUAAUCAUUUAGAAUGUUUUGUCAAAGUGUUUUUUUCCACUUAAUUAUUAAAAAUAUGUUGGAUUUUUGGAUUUUUU
Cryptomeria japonica (Japanese cedar) is the source of this 949-nucleotide long non-coding RNA. RefSeq lists it as uncharacterized. The record is from RefSeq and is a predicted model, not a curated record. NCBI's taxonomy places the organism in Eukaryota, Viridiplantae, Streptophyta, Pinopsida, Cupressales, Cupressaceae. The transcript is spliced from 2 exons.